AUGGCAUUGUUGGACUGGAUUGAGUUGUCUGAUGACGAGGAGGUGACAGUCAAAGAAAGACUUCCUCCAGAAAAAGUCAAAGAAGAAUUUCCUUCAACAGAAGUCAAAGAAGAAUUUCCUCCCACAAUAGUGAAAGAAGAACUGGAUACUCAUGUACAUGGGACAGCUCAGUUGGAAGUAGAAAUUGUUGAUUUAACCACAGAAGAAGCUGACGUUGAAGAGGAUAGGAAUGCUCACGGGAAAGGGGAUGCUGCUCAGGGGGCAACGACAUCACAUAGACAACAGUUUGUUGCACCUCAUGGACAAGGCGGGGCACCUCAGACAGUGGUACCAAGACAAGAGUUUCUUGCUGCUGCUAAUGGUGUGGAAGAGUUUCUUGUAAUAGGUGAUGUUGCACAAGAGGCUAUGCAGUCUGGAAAUCAGGAUUUUGCUGCAGCAGUUGAUUGCGCAGAAGAGGCCACACAUUCUGAAAAUGCAGAUGAAGCUGGCCCAUCAUUGUUUACAGAACAAGGUGCCGCGGCAGGUGAUUGCGGUGAAGAGGCUAUGCAGCCUGGAAAUCAGGAUUUUGCUGCAGCAGUUGAUUGUGCAGAAGAGGCCAUGCAGUCUGAAAAUGCAGCUGAAGCUGGCCCAUCGUCGUUUACAGAGCAAGGUGUUGCAGCAGGCGAUUGCAGUGAAGAAGCUUUGCAGCCUGGAAAUCAGGAUUUUUCUGCAGCAGUUGAUUACGCAGUAGAGGCCAUGAAGUCUGAAAAUGCAGCUGAAGCUGGCCCAUCAUCGUUAACAGAACAAGGUGUUGUGGCAGGUUAUUGCAGUGAAGAAGCUAUGCAGUGUGGAAAUCAGGAUUUUGUUGCAGCAGUUGAUUACGCAGAAGAGGCCAUGCAGUUCGAGAAUGCAGCUGAAGCUGGCCCAUUAUCGUCUACUGGACAAGGUGUCGUAGCAGGCGAUUGCAGUGAAGAGGCUAUGCAGUCUGGAAAGCAGGAUUUUGUCACAGCAGUUGAUUGCGUAGAAGAGGCUAAGCAGUCUGGAAAUGCAGUCGAAGGUGCCCCAUCAUCGUUUACAGAAGGUGUAGCAGCAGGUGAUUUUGCUGAAGAGGCUAUGCAGUAUAACCAUGAAGACAAAGCUGCUGAAUGCUCGUCAAUGACACGACAAGCUGCUUCAUCAUCCUUGUCAAUGACAGAACAAGGUGCUACUACAUCCUCACUAAGGACAGCGCAACAGAGUCACAAGAGAGAUGCAUUGAUAGAUUCCCCUCCCAUCGCAACUGUGGCGCCUUUUCCCCGGCAAUUCUGGAAGGCUGGGGGGUACAAGGUUGCUUCCCGAGCUUCCAUCAACAAUGGCCAGAACUGCUUAAGGAUUAAUCCCAAGUUUCUUCACUCGAAUGCUACGUCACACAAGUGGGUAUUUGGUGCUAUUGCAGAACUGCUCGACAACGCUGUUGAUGAGGUGCAGAACGGGGCAACCUAUGUGAAAAUAGAUAAAAUGAAAUAUUCUCCUGUUGGAGAGUAUUCGUUAAUGAUACAAGAUGAUGGAGGCGGUAUGAGUCCUGAGUAUCUUCGACAUUGUUUGAGCUUUGGAUUCUCCAAUAAAUGCACGAAUUCAUCAAUUGGACAAUAUGGAAAUGGCUUCAAAACCAGCACAAUGAGGCUUGGGGCAGAUGCUAUCAUAUUCAGCUGCAGAAAAGCUAAUAGCAGAUUGACACGAAGUGUUGGGCUGCUCUCUUACACAUUCCUCAAAGGAACCGGCUGCGAUGACAUAUUAGUGCCAGUGGUUGACUAUGAAUUUGAUCCUUCAUCCCGCAAUUUCAAGAGGAUAAUGGACCGUGGUGAAAAACAUUUUUCUUCCAAUUUGUCCACUCUUCUGAGGUGGUCUCAAUUUUCUACAGAAGAUGAUUUAUUGAAUCAAUUUGAGGACAUGGGAUGCCAUGGCACAAAAAUUGUUGUAUUCAACUUGUGGCUCAAUGAUGUGGAUGAAAUGGAGCUUGACUUUACAACUGAUGACGAGGAUAUUAUGAUGUCAGGAGCGCCUAAGAUACCAGAAGAACGCGCGAAAGUGAAAAGGUUGAAUCAUAUGCAUAUUGCAAAUCGCUUUCGAUAUUCACUUCGUGUUUAUGCAUCUAUACUAUACCUUCGUCUACCACAACACUUUAAAGUCAUCUUGUGUGGACGAACUGUUGAACCUCAUCAUAUUAUAAAGGACCUCAUAUACCGUGAAUGUAUCAAAUAUCAACCACAAGUUGGAACAAGCGUACAGGUUGAUGUCAUUACUUCAAUUGGCUUCUUAAAAGGUGCUCCACACCUGGAUAUCUAUGGAUUUAAUGUCUACCAUAGGAACCGUCUUAUUCUGCCAUUUUGGGCUGCAGGCUCUGAGAGAGGUCGAGGCAGAGGCAUUGCUGGGGUUUUGGAGGCGAACUUUAUACGACCUACACAUGAUAAGCAAGAUUUUGAGAAGACGGAACUUUUUCAGAGACUUGAGACGAGAUUAAAAGACAUGACAAUGGAGUAUUGGAGGCACCAUGCACAUUUGAUUGGCUACCAGCCAGUCACAAAAUCUCUUCCUCCAGCAUAUUAUACAUCUAUUGCUGCUACCAAUGACAGCUCAGUAGCCCAAGCUACAGCAACAACUUAUGCCAGGAACUCAAGAGCCAAGGCAUCUGGAGUGUUGAACUCCUGUUUCAAUGGAGGUAACUCAUUAAAUCCUUUGCAUGUUGGUGCCUUGAGGGAUCAAAUGGACUAUGGUGCAUGUUCUUUAGCAAGGAGAAAUAUGAGGACUUCAUUAUAUAUGCCAAGCACACCCCAGCAAACUGAACCGUGCAAAAGAAGAAACUCUGGCUCGAUGAUUGAAAUGAGGGCCCAAAAAAGGCACAACACAAAUGGCGUCAAUGUUGUUGAGAUAGGAGAGGAAAGGAGCAGUCUCUUACUUUGUCAGAACAUGAUGCUAAAGGCCGAGUGUUCCGAGCUCGAGGCGGCCGGGCAGACUCUCCGAAGCAAGAUUAUUAUACGCCUUGUUGCACAAGAUUCUGGCCCUUUGUUUCUUCAGACGGAUAAGUUCAGGGUCUGCUCCGCAAAUUCUAUCUACUACUAUAUCUCAACACACAUGGUAGAUGUGUAUUCAGAUCUCCUUGAGUUGUAUGAAGAGCACCUACAUGUUUCUUUCGACGCAUAA
RNAcentral lists this ribosomal RNA (3159 nucleotides) under Triticum aestivum (bread wheat). RNAcentral's name for it is "partial small subunit ribosomal RNA". The record is from RNAcentral. Lineage: Eukaryota; Viridiplantae; Streptophyta; Magnoliopsida; Poales; Poaceae.